This 2454-nucleotide small RNA is filed under the name Pan troglodytes (chimpanzee). RNAcentral's name for it is "retained intron". The record is from RNAcentral. Lineage: Eukaryota; Metazoa; Chordata; Mammalia; Primates; Hominidae.
CAACUCAGUACAGAGAAGUGUGAUGAGCAAGCGAGGGCCUGGGCCACGCCCAGCAGUCCUUUCUGUUUGUCAGAAAUGCAGAUGACUUCUCAGUUUAAGAUCAAGCAAUUCAUAAAAUUAAAAUAAUAACAGCUCAACUUAAGCAAGCGCUUUUAUGUUCUAGUCACUUACCCUAGCACUUGAGGUUUGUCAAUUUAAUUCUAUAACAACCCCAGAGGAAGAUAAGAAGACAAUAUCGUCCCUUAUUUACCAACCGGGACAAUUUACUGUUGUCCAAGUGCUCUGGGCAGGACAGAAGGGUGUGGGUGUGCUGCUUCCAGGCUUGGAACAGGAGGUAGAACAAUGAACAAUGAUAGAAAGUAUUCAUAGGCCAGGCACGGUGGCUCACACCUGCAAUCCCGGCACUUUGGGAGGCCAAGAAGGGCGGAUCACUCGAGGUCAGGAGUUUGAGACCAGCCUGGCCACCAUGGUAAAACCCUGUCUCUACCAAAAAUACAAAUAUUAGCUAGGCAUGGUGGUGCAUGCCUGUAAUCCCAGCUACUUGGGAAGCUGAGUCAGAAGAAUCACUUGAAUCCAGGAGGCAGAGGUUGCAGUGAGCCGAGAUUGUGCCACUGCACUCCAGGCUGGGUGACAGAGCAAGAUUCUGUCUCAAAAAAUUAAAAAAAAAAAAAAAAAAGAAAGAAAUAUUAAUAGAAGUAGGAAAAGGUUGGAGGGAGGUCUCAGGGUAGGGCAGGUUCUGAAUGGCACGAAAUAAUGGCCAGGCUACUCUGCCCUAUGAAUGCCCAUCAGCUGAACUUAACAGGCAGGCCUCCAGACACACAGCAGCCAGUUCCUGAGGGCUUUUGUGUGUCAGGGUGCAGGUCUGCUGGGCUGCCAGCCAACUUGACAUCACCUCUCUUGCCUGCCAAUAAAACUGAACCUUCUAACGAGGUUAUACAUUCCUGAGUCCCUGGGCUCAUAACCCUUCUAGGUGGCCUUUCUGGUCACUCAGGGGUGGGCCUUCAUACCUGCGUCUCUUUACUUCCUCUCACCAUCACUCUAAGGCCUCUCCCUGGGAGCUGGCUGAGCUCACUCCUGCACAUUUGGCUAUCUUUAGAACUCCUGGUCCCAAAUUGCAGUUCUGGCCCCUCUGGCUGCUGGGGAACAUAACCUCUGCCUGCUCCCCAGGGGCUCACCGUGUGGGGGAGCAAACCAUGUAUAUCCAGUGCUGUGAGUGGCUCCAGUCAUGGAGGAGCAAGGAUGAGUUCUGCCUGGAAGAAUCUGGGAAGGCUUCCUGGAGGAGGGAACAAUGGCAUGGACCUUGAAGAGUCAGAAGCUUUCAAUUCAUUCCAUUCAAGCAUUGCUCUCAUGUGGCAUUCAAGCAUUCUAUAGUGCUUGCCGUGACUCAGGUGCACAGUGCAAAAGGAAGCACAUCUUUCUCUGCCAUGAGGACUUAUUAGUGUCUGAAGAGCUUUUUCUGGACUAUAGGAGAAAGUCAUGGUCUCCCUCACUAAUAAACACUGACCCUGCUUUGGAUGAGCUAACAGCCCUGCUCAGAAAGCAUGACACCCAUCCUGUUCACUUCUCCCUGCCCCGGUCAAACCACCAAGCCCUAGAUUGCAUUGCCAAGUAUCCUGUAUUUACUGGGAAUGGACAUCACAGUAGCAUGCCUUCCUAGCCACAUCUAUGAGGUUUUGUUCAUUUUCAUUCUGCUUUUUGUUUGAACUAAACCUGCCUUAGAAGGCAGAAAAGAAAAGAUAACGUCUGAUUCCCCCGAUCAACCAACCAAUCAACUAGGUCAGGGCCACGUAAAUUCAUUCAGGACAAGCACUGGGGUCAAACUCCCCAGUGAUCCUCACCCUCCUCCAGAAUUUCCACUUCCCAAAAUGAAGCAAAGAGCGGUAGACAGGAGUCAUCCCUUCUUGUGGCUCCCAACCUGGGGCAGCCCCCUGCCUCCCUUUAGAUGGGCAAUCGGCUUAGAAAGUGGAGGGGAAGCCAGUGUGGAUCUACUCACAGAAUGUUCUUCUGGUUUCCAGCCAGGAUUGCUACAGUUGUGAUUGGAGGAGUUGUGGCCAUGGCGGCUGUGCCCAUGGUGCUCAGUGCCAUGGGCUUCACUGCGGCGGGAAUCACCUCGUCCUCCAUAGCAGCCAAGAUGAUGUCCGCGGCGGCCAUUGCCAAUGGGGGUGGAGUUGCCUCGGGCAGCCUUGUGGCUACUCUGCAGUCACUGGGAGCAACUGGACUCUCCGGAUUGACCAAGUUCAUCCUGGGCUCCACUGGGUCUGCCAUUGCAGCUGGCAUUGCGAGGUUCUACUAGCUCCCUGCCCCUCGCCCUGCAGAGAAGAGAACCAUGCCAGGGGAGAAGGCACCCAGCCAUCCUGACCCAGUGAGGAGCCAACUAUCCCAAAUAUACCUGGGGUGAAAUAUACCAAAUUCUGCACCUCCAGAGGAAAAUAAGAAAUAAAGAUGAAUUGUUGC